UUAUUAUUUUUAUUUAUUUUUUUUUUUGUGAAAUUGUGGAAAAUACAUAUAUAUAUAUAUAUAUUGCGAUUUUUGAUGGCUCAGGACCAUUUCGAAGCUCGAACACAUUGAAGACGUUGGAGUUAUAAAUCAGCAUACUACCAUACAUAGAUCGGCAUCGAUGCACCACUGACAAGUUACUACACAAACCACAUUUGUUGUGUUCUUAAUGGUUGACAAUAAGUGACACAGGUCUUUACCACAAUCCUUGACUAGAUUGAAAAUGAGAGGGGUCUUUCGCGACGACAAACACUUUUCCGCCAUUCAGUGUUGAACAAUAACUCGAUACUGUUGUUUAAUGGUUUUUGGAUUCCCAUUCAGCGUUGAAUCCAGUGCAGAAGAAAUGCCAAAAAAAAAAAAAAAAAAUAAAAUCAAA
This 415-nucleotide small RNA is filed under the name Drosophila mojavensis. RNAcentral's name for it is "GI25544". The record is from RNAcentral. Lineage: Eukaryota; Metazoa; Arthropoda; Insecta; Diptera; Drosophilidae.